GUGGAUUAGAUACCCUGGUAGUCCACGCCGUAAACGAUGGAUACUAGCUGUUCGGAGCAAUCUGAGUGGCUAAGCGAAAGUGAUAAGUAUCCCACCUGGGGAGUACGUUCGCAAGAAUGAAACUCAAAGGAAUUGACGGGGGCCCGCACAAGCGGAGGAGCAUGUGGUUUAAUUCGAUGAUACGCGAGGAACCUUACCAGGGCUUAAAUGGGAGACGACAGGACUGGAAACAGUUUUUUCUUCGGACGUCUUUCAAGGUGCUGCACGGCCGUCGCCAGCU
This 280-nucleotide ribosomal RNA is filed under the name uncultured bacterium. RNAcentral's name for it is "partial 16S ribosomal RNA". It matches the Rfam family "Bacterial small subunit ribosomal RNA", at positions 773 to 1060 of the family's 1533-position model. The record is from RNAcentral.